This 71-nucleotide non-coding RNA is filed under the name Providencia burhodogranariea. RNAcentral describes it as "Fluoride sequence". It matches the Rfam family "Fluoride riboswitch aptamer (crcB RNA motif)". Lineage: Bacteria; Pseudomonadati; Pseudomonadota; Gammaproteobacteria; Enterobacterales; Morganellaceae. The record is from RNAcentral.
UUAGUUUGAGGCGAUGGCAUUCCUCCCGUUUAAGAACUGUCCUAAUAAGGACUGAUGAUGCCUACGUUAAC